Long non-coding RNA from Gekko japonicus, 217 nucleotides. RefSeq lists it as uncharacterized. The transcript has 3 exons. NCBI's taxonomy places the organism in Eukaryota, Metazoa, Chordata, Lepidosauria, Squamata, Gekkonidae. The record is from RefSeq and is a predicted model, not a curated record.
CUUCUUUAGGAUGUCCGAAGCACCUUGCAGAGGUAUGAAGAAAAGGAGAGGUUUGAGAAUCCAGUGACUCUUCCUCUUGCAUUGAAGUGGAGGAUCUGGGACUUCUGUGACAUCAGUCUCUUGCUGGAAGGUGUCAUGAAGCAGCUGAAAGAACACUCAAAUUGUGUCCCCUCCUAUCCUCCAGUCUGUUCUGCCCUUCUCCCCACAAUCCUUUAAG